UGUAUGAUGGGGAAGAAAAAAAAAAGGCGGGAAUUAAAAGAAUUAUUAAGAGGAAAAUUUAAAGCUGGGCAAAAGGGGAAAAUCGAAAGCAUCGGAAAACGCACCAGUGUCACCGGAGAUCAUAGCUUCCGGCGAUUUCAGCGUCUAUGCCGGUUCAAGUUGUGUGAGAAAUCAAUCGGCGGAGAAACGAACCGAGAGAGUCACGGGAACCCUAGACCGAAUCACAUUUGGAGAUUUCAGGAUAUCUUUGAUGAUCUCAAGUGUUGGCUAGUAAAUGUAUCCUCCAUGGUCAACACUACGGUUACCUUUGCUAUUAAUUGUGUGGCGGACUCCUGGGUUGGUGUUGCUGAAGAAGGGAGUUGUCAUGAUUAUGGUCAAGUUCAGGGUCCAAGGUUAUCUUCAAAACUUGAAUCAUGCAACAGAGCUAACAAUUGAAGCUAUGUUCGCAGAGGUGAAAAGUGAUCGAUUGGAGUCUUUUCGUCCCUUUGGAGUGUUAUCGUUCUCUUGCACGUGUGGUAAGUAUCUGAUGGAAUGUUUGAAAGGUAUACAGAGAGCCUCUAUUAAGAUAUUUGCCCAAUAUUUCUUUUGUUUUUUUUGGUGAAUGGUGUUUACGGUGUAAGUUUUUGAAUAAUGAUGAUGACGAACUUUGACAAUUUUAAACUUUUGUUGUCUUUUUGGUGAGAUCGAAGUCUUGGUAGCACAAAGAUAUCUCGCAUCAAACUGGUUCGUUGUUUAGUUACUGGUCCAGUUUAAUAUGAAUGCUAGAUGUUUUUUUUUUCUUCC
Long non-coding RNA from Nicotiana attenuata, 783 nucleotides. RefSeq lists it as uncharacterized. The record is from RefSeq and is a predicted model, not a curated record. Lineage: Eukaryota; Viridiplantae; Streptophyta; Magnoliopsida; Solanales; Solanaceae. The transcript has 3 exons.